RNAcentral lists this long non-coding RNA (555 nucleotides) under Fragaria vesca (wild strawberry). Its description in RNAcentral is "long non-coding RNA (FVES_LNC003415)". Lineage: Eukaryota; Viridiplantae; Streptophyta; Magnoliopsida; Rosales; Rosaceae. The record is from RNAcentral.
ACAAAUCUCUUAUGUCAUGGCUUUUCGGAUUAAUUUCGAUCAUCGUUUUCAGCUUACAAGGUAAGCUAAUAUGUUUCUCUCUUCUUUAUCAAUUGAAUGCUUUUUCUUUUUUAUGUGAUUAAAACUAGAAAUAGAAAAAGAAGCUUGAAUUCAUGGGUUUUAUUGUAUUUUGGGUAUGUCAUUUAUGAAAUAGAAUGCUAUGUCAUGAAUCUUUUAUUGAUUAGAUUGUAAAUGCAUGUCUGUUUGGGAUGUUUAAUUUGUGUUAUGUUAUUUGGUUAUGCACACAAGGUGUUUGAGGAAAUGUCUGUGAAUGAAUUUUGGUGUUUUUACUCAAUGAGAGCGCAGUGGACCUUGAUGUGCUAGCGAGGGCUGACCUUCUCAAGUUCUUAAGUAAGGAAUGUGAGGAAAGAGAUGCUACACGCUGCAAAGAGAUGCACAUUAAAGAUGAAAGCUUAAGAAAUACGAAAUUCUGCCCAGAUUUUCAGUCAAAUUCGACUGCAAAUUGGGAGCAGCUCAUAGUGAUCCAAAAAACUUGCCUUAUAUCAACGGAAAGNN